This 24-nucleotide transfer RNA is filed under the name Lucifuga sp. MFP 18.000397. Its description in RNAcentral is "partial transfer RNA-Lys". The record is from RNAcentral. Lineage: Eukaryota; Metazoa; Chordata; Actinopteri; Ophidiiformes; Bythitidae.
UGACCCCUAAUCACCCUUAGCGAC